GCUUACACAUGCAGUCGAGGGGUAACAGGGAGUAGCUUGCUACUUGCUGACGACCGGCGCACGGGUGCGUAACGCGUAUACAAUCUACCUUAUACUGGGGAAUAGCCUUUGGAAACGAAGAUUAAUGCCCCAUAGUAUUAUUGAAUGGCAUCGUUUAAUAAUUAAAACUCCGGUGGUAUAAGAUGAGUAUGCGUUCUAUUAGUUAGUUGGUAAGGUAACGGCUUACCAAGACAUCGAUAGAUAGGGGUCCUGAGAGGGAGAUCCCCCACACUGGUACUGAGACACGGACCAGACUCCUACGGGAGGCAGCAGUGAGGAAUAUUGGACAAUGGGCGCAAGCCUGAUCCAGCCAUGCCGCGUGCAGGAAGACUGCCCUAUGGGUUGUAAACUGCUUUUAUAUGGGAAGAAUAAGGGGUACGUGUACUCUGAUGACGGUACCAUAAGAAUAAGCACCGGCUAACUCCGUGCCAGCAGCCGCGGUAAUACGGAGGGUGCAAGCGUUAUCCGGAAUCAUUGGGUUUAAAGGGUCCGUAGGCGGGCAUAUAAGUCAGUGGUGAAAUGCUGUGGCUCAACCAUAGCACUGCCAUUGAUACUGUAUGUCUUGAAUUAUUGUGAAGUGGUUAGAAUAUGUAGUGUAGCGGUGAAAUGCUUAGAUAUUACAUAGAAUACCGAUUGCGAAGGCAGAUCACUAACAAUAUAUUGACGCUGAUGGACGAAAGCGUAGGUAGCGAACAGGAUUAGAUACCCUGGUAGUCUACGCCGUAAACGAUGGAUACUAGUUGUUUGGCUUUCGGGCUGAGUGACUAAGCGAAAGUGAUAAGUAUCCCACCUGGGGAGUACG
This 841-nucleotide ribosomal RNA is filed under the name Flavobacteriaceae bacterium ACEMC 10-5. RNAcentral's name for it is "bacterial SSU rRNA". It matches the Rfam family "Bacterial small subunit ribosomal RNA", at positions 46 to 884 of the family's 1533-position model. Lineage: Bacteria; Pseudomonadati; Bacteroidota; Flavobacteriia; Flavobacteriales; Flavobacteriaceae. The record is from RNAcentral.